Molecule: non-coding RNA, 637 nt
Organism: Phodopus roborovskii (desert hamster)
Lineage: Eukaryota; Metazoa; Chordata; Mammalia; Rodentia; Cricetidae
Source: the annotation of a RefSeq genome assembly
UCUGGGUCGAGACAGAUCAUAGAAAAUAUCACUCAAAACAAGAGCUAACAAUAUGUUGAUCCUUAGACUGCUGGGAGCAAUCUUCAGCUCCAUUUUUUUUGCAGCCAGCAUGGCCCAGAAAGUAACUCAGGCUCAGACUUCAAUUUCCGUGAUGGAGAAAAGGACUGUGACAUUGGACUGUGUGUAUGAAACCCGGGAAAGUACUUACUACUUGUUCUGGUACAAGCAAAUGGCAAGUGGGAAAAUGGUUUUCCUUAUUCGUCAGGAGUCUUACAAAAAGGAAAAUGCAACAGAGGGUCGUUAUUCUCUGAACUUCCAGAAUACAGAGAGUUCCAUUAGACUCAUCAUCACAGCUGCAGAGAUGGAGGACUCAGCAGUGUAUUUCUGUGCUAUGAGAGAAGGCACAGUGGCAGAGUGUCAACAAGAGCACCACAAAAACCUCAACCAGACAAAAGCUCUGAGGACAGGGAGAGAUGGAACCUGUGGUAGCACAGGCAAGAAGCCUAAGUUCAAUUCAUGUAGAAUGUCUACCUUCACCAGUCAUGAGAAGUGUGCAUGUUCAGGGCCUGAAUGGGUCUGCACCAGGUCCUCCGUGUAUAUUAUGGCUUCCAGUUUACUGUUUUUAUGUGACUCCUGA